This 73-nucleotide transfer RNA is filed under the name Pelobacter propionicus DSM 2379. It matches the Rfam family "tRNA". Rfam says of the family: Transfer RNA (tRNA) molecules are approximately 80 nucleotides in length. Their secondary structure includes four short double-helical elements and three loops (D, anti-codon, and T loops). Lineage: Bacteria; Pseudomonadati; Thermodesulfobacteriota; Desulfuromonadia; Desulfuromonadales; Desulfuromonadaceae. The record is from Rfam by way of RNAcentral.
GUGGCUAUGGUGAAGCGGUUAACACUUACGACUGUGACUCGUACAUUCGAGGGUUCGAUCCCCUCUAGCCACC